AAAAAAAAAGACUUAGACAGGGAGUUAAGACAAUAGGUAGAUAAUUAAAAGAGUUAGGUACAGGUAGUUGUAAUGGUACUAGCAGUAGUAGUUGUACAGGAGUAGUGUAACGGUGUCACAUAAUUAAUAAUGACGUACUGUAUUUAUAUUGCCUUGCCUAAUUAGCAUUAUAAGUGUAUGUAUACAUAUAUGCACAAGUGCAGAUAGUGGAUGUUGGCGGAUAAGGGUGGGGCGGACAUGAUCUCGCCACCCUGCGUCACACACACACACACACACACACACACACACACACACACACCAUACUUCUUUUAUUGCCAUCGAUAAGUAAUCGGUAGCACCUACAUUAUAGUAUCUAAGUAUUCUCCAUAGUUAAUCUCUCUCUAAUAUAUUUUAGCAUGUAUUAUUCUUAGCUAUAAGUACCUUUCCCCUUACCUUAUUUAUGUAAUUAGAGAGUUAUAGCUAUGAAUAUAUUCAUGUACUGUGAGUGCGGUCAACCCGCCCAUAUUUCUACUGUCAGCACUUUUUGAAGGCGCUAAGCGUCCCUUGUGCCGGCUCCGGCGACCGGCAGUCUCUUGCCAGGGUGUAACGCUGUACCACGCAGGGGACAUCCGUUGUCCCGUACACGCCACACCCUUCUCCCAAAACUCUGUACAUAUAUCUAAAUAUACACAUUUUUAUAUGUUCACCUUUGACAUUCACCUGAAAACAACAGAAACUCACCACGAGUGACCUUACCUACAACAUAAAGGUAAGAAACUAAUGAACAGUGUCCAGCGGUAAUUGAUAAUUCAAAACCACACUGGAACAUUUGGUGGCAGCUUAAUGAGAUACGAAUAACUAACUUCAGUGCCAAGUGCAACAACAAUAAACAGUGGUUGAAAAACAAGUGGUGAACAGACACAGAGAACGGAGAAAACGGCAAACAGUGGCAGGGUAGUGAGGAGGGCAAAGGAACGAACCGACGUUGUUUACAGAACUUACGCUGACACACCAAAACACUCGCGCCCAACCAAGAGCGACUCACCAAACGGUCUCGCCUUACUCACCCAGCCUGCCACUCCCAAAAUUCACUUCUUGUUAUAAAAGAGGAGACUUAAAAGACUCAGGGCGAAACCUAACAUAAAUAUAUGGUUUCCCUUCGGUCUAAUUAUUCGUCGCAGAUUCUCGCCAAAGACAUCAUCGGCGCAGACAUUCUCGGCGCAGACCAGCAUAUCUCCCACCUGCAGGAAUUUUGCAGGAUCCUACAAGGACACUACUAUCCCAAGAGGAGCCUCCCAUGAAAUGGACGAAGCGCUCGCUCUCGUUUUCUUCCAAGUGUUUAGGGAUAACUAGAAUAAUUUCAUUUGUCCCUCAACUAACUUAAAAUUUCCAUGCUUCUAACAAUAUUAACCAUUCUUUCUUUAAACAUGGAGGCGCCUUUGGACGAUGAAAAUGUAAUGUAAGUGUGUAAUUAAUACCUAAUUAAGGAAGGUUAAUAAUACCACAUUUAUGGCUAAAGCUAAGAAGUUAGCUGAAGUUUAUGAAACGGAGUGUCAUUCCUAAGUGGAGAAUAGUGAUACUAGAUCAUCAGAAGAAUUAUCAACGGAACAGAAACCCACUACAGUGGUAAAUACCGUGUCUCAUGAGGAUGAAAACGUGUUGAUUACAAGAUAAGGAAAUAAAUACCCAUCAUUAUCAGUAGCGACCAUGUCUAACGCUUCUGCUUCUGCUUCUGCCUCUAGUGGCUCUCUUAAUACCUUGCAUGUAUCUGCUACACUUAAGGGACUUCCUAUUCCAGAAUCAAUAUCAGAAUUUCGUGGAGAAAGCCCGCAAGAACGGGCUCAUGACUUCAUCCGUUCGUGUGAGAAUGUUAUGAGAUCAAAUCCUAUCACAGAUGAAGACAAGAUCUUUUUCGUCAAGUCCAAAUUGGCUGGAGAAGCAUCACGCAUGAUGAAUACCAGCGCUUUUAGUCCGCGUGAAAUAGGGACUAGUUAUGCUAAUUUCAAGAAAAAUUUCUUGAAAAUUUUUGGGGAUAAGAGCCAAACUGAUCUUAUGGCACUAGCAUCCAAGGUGAGUGUUAGGUUAGCAGCUGAAGCUAACUCUCUUCAUGAAAUGAAGGCACUAAUUCCGACACACCAGUUCGUGACAGACUACAUGGACGUCUUACAGCUUAACAAUUGGUUCCAAGGAGACAGCAUGACAGAAACAAAUUUCAGAAGACUUCUGGAAUUUAUCUUUUACAUGACAUUGGUGAAUGAGGAAGUGAGGAAAAACGCAAGUUAUUUCAGUUUUAAGCCGGGAGACACAGUAGCUGACCUUGCAGUCUUGAUUAGAGAAAAAAAGGGGCUACCUGGUUCUUCUCCGGAAACUCAAACCUCACUGGUUGCUCCACUCGUAGGUGACGACCAAUCCGAACCUUGUGCAGCAGCCAUGGCAAAGCCCGGAAAUGUCUGUUCGUACUGCCAUAAAAUAGGUCAUGUUGAAAAAAGAUGCUUUAAAAAACAAAAGGACCAGAAACUGGCAUCAAAUAAAUCUGACUCGAAGAACAAAACAAAAGGGAAUAAUCUCUCUGUUAGACCAAGAACAGGUGCAUCGCCCCAUGUGAACACAGGCAGGGCAAGAUCCUACAAGGAUGUCACUACCCAAUACUGCAUCAUACAUGGCCAGUGUAAACACUCGCCAGAACAAUGUAAGGAUAUAAUCAACAUGAGAAUUGAAAAACAGGCCAGAAUAGUACAAAGCAGUCGGGGAAAGACCAGCGCACUGUAGUAAACAAACCCGACUAAAACAUCUAAAUGCGCAAGACGCUGAGGCAGCACAUUCUUCUGACAUGUCAGUGUAUUCAACUAUAAAUGCUGUCAACAACCAAACAGACAUAAUGCCAUUACCAACUAAGGUAGGUAAGCAUCGCUUAUCUUUGGCUGUAGACACUGGAGCCACGGUAAACGUGAUCUCUGAAGAAUCUUACAAGAUUCUGAAACGGAAUUCACGCGGUGGUAAAUGGAUGACCCCCCGUCCAAGUGACUUGAAUCUUUCUGGUGUCACUGGGUCAGCCCUAAAAAUCCUAGGAAUAAUUUCCUUACCAAUAAGGCUAUCUAAGAAUACUCAGCCUAUUCAAACUGAUUUCUAUGUAGUCAGCAACUUUAAACUUCCUUCUGACGGCUUGUUAGGGCUAAGGUACCUAUUUCUACCUAUCAUCCCCAUCCAACCGGUCUAAUCUUCUCUUAAAGCUCCCUAAUCUCUUAGCACUAACAACAUGAUUACUGAGUCCGUUCCACUCAUCUACAACUCUACUUGAGAACCAAUUCCUUCCUAUAUCUUUCUUAAACUUAAAUUUUUAAAGCUUGUACCCGUUAUUUUUUGUUCUGUCUUGGUUGCUGAUCCUAAGAAUUUUGCUUACGUCCCCCUUAAAGACUUCUGUCAGGUUCCCUCUUAACCUACGUCUCUCUAAAAAAUGUAAAUUUAACAGCUUCAGUCUCGCCUCGUAAGGAAUACUCCUCAUCCCCUGUAUUCUUUUAGUCAUUCUCCUCUGUGGUGUCAAUGGCAGGGUAACAACUUCCCUAUUUCCUGUAGAGGGUUUGCUUCACACACUAGAAAUUGGUCAGUCAACAUACAAAUUGACACCAUUGUAUGCAACGGACAUGAUCUAAUAUUACUACCCAUUGCUAGAAGCUAUCUUGACCACAGAUGCAAUAAUUGUAAACAUACCUUUUAAAUCUCUGGAUAAUUUUGAGGCCUAUGAGAUUAAAUCCUUUUCAUUCUUCAUUAAUAAUUCGGUGAUGACACGACAUUUUUCAUUAUAUACAAUUGGAGAUUUAACUGAAUUAAAACAUUGUAAAUGCUUACAUUUGUACUUACAUUUGUACCAUUGUUCUAGUAUCCAGUUUGCCUUCUUACCUGUAGUAAAUGGAAUUUGUGAAGUUGCCUUGACACGUUCAGAGGCGUCUACAGCUCUAUCACUCUGUCCAUACAAGCAUGUGGUUUCAAAACCUAUUUUCCAUUGUAACUUUCAUGGAUAUCAUUGCUUUUAUUUCACAGAAACCUUUUAUGUCUCAGUGACUUGCCCAGAAGGGACCACCUAUGAGGAGGUUAUAGGACAUUAUACGGUACAAGAUGCUUGUCAUGUACGUUCUAGUAAACUAACCACUUACCCUUCUCGGUUUCACUUAGCUUUCAUGACAGCACUUUCUUAUAAGGUAUUCCCUGUCACUUCCCUGAAGAAUUUGACAAAGUCAAGGAUUUCUUUUAUAACUAACUCGUUAUCCACUCUUUCCUUCUCAAACACAAGAGAGUUUUCAGAGGCUCUAGAGACAUCUUUACCAGCAUAUCUGAAACCAGGAUUUCUCUACCCAAGUGUCGUGACACCUUGCCUUAUUUUAAUGUUCCUGACAAUACUCCUACAUGUGUGUGUUAGGAAAGGUGUAAACGUCUUCCUUCUGCAACUAUUAAUGAAGGAGUUUCACGCACAUAAUAUGGUUAGGUACACUGUAUUCGCGAGGACGCGUCAAGUAGGUGACCGAGCGAUGUAACGGUGUCACAUAAUUAAUAAUGACAUAUACUGUAUUUAUAUUGCCUUGCCUAAUUAGCAAAUAAGUGUAUGUAUACAUAUAUGCAUAAGUGCAGAUAGUGGGUGUUGGCGGAUAAGGGUGGGGCGGACAUGAUCUCGCCACCCUGCGUCACACACACACACACACACACACACACACCAUACUUCUUUUAUUGCCAUCGAUAAGUAAUCGGUAGCACCUACAUUAUAGUAUCUAAGUAUUCUCCAUAGUUAAUCUCUCUCUAAUAUAUUUUAGCAUGUAUUAUUCUUAGCUAUAAGUACCUUUCCCCUUACCUUAUUUAUGUAAUUAGAGAGUUAUAGCUAUGAAUAUAUUCAUGUACUGUGAGUGCGGUCAACCCGCCCAUAUUUCUACUGUCAGCACUUUUUGAAGGCGCUAAGCGUCCCUUGUGCCGGCUCCGGCGACCGGCAGUCUCUUGCCAGGGUGUAACGCUGUACCACGCAGGGGACAUCCGUUGUCCCGUACACGCCACACCCUUCUCCCAGAACUCUGUACAUAUAUCUUAAUAUACUUAUUUUUAUAUGUUCACCUUUUACAUUCACCUGAAAACCACAGAAACUCACCACGAAUGACCUUACCUACAACAUAAAGGUAAGAAACUAAUGAACAGUGUCCAGCGGUAAUUGAUAAUUCAAAACCACACUGGAACAGUAGUAAUGGUAGUUGCAGUAGUCGUUGUUAUAUUAAUAGUAGUAAUACUAGGAGUAAUAAUAACAAUGGUGAUGAUGAUGAUGAUGAUGAUGAUGAUGAUGAUAAUAAUGAUAAUAAUAAUAAUAAAUUUUCAUUUAUAUA
Long non-coding RNA from Scylla paramamosain (green mud crab), 5336 nucleotides. RefSeq lists it as uncharacterized. Lineage: Eukaryota; Metazoa; Arthropoda; Malacostraca; Decapoda; Portunidae. The transcript has 2 exons. The record is from RefSeq and is a predicted model, not a curated record.